GCUAGAAUAAAGCAGGCAGAAGUUGGAAAGAGCAGACUUGCUAAGCCUUCUGGCCUUCAUCUUUCUCCCAUGCUGGAUGCUUCCCACCCUUAAACAUCAGCCUCCAAGUUCUUUGGCUUUUGGACUUUCGGACUUACUCUAGUGGUUUGCCAGGGGCUCUUGGGCCUGCGGCCACAGACUGAAGGCUGCGCUGUCUGCUUCCGUACUUUUGAGGUUUUGGGACUGGGACUGAUCCACUACUGGCUUCCUUGCUCCUUAACUUGCAGACGGC
This 271-nucleotide long non-coding RNA is filed under the name Homo sapiens (human). RNAcentral describes it as "LHRI_LNC576.1". Lineage: Eukaryota; Metazoa; Chordata; Mammalia; Primates; Hominidae. The record is from RNAcentral.